UUGUUAAUCAGUGUACAGUCCUCAACCUC
RNAcentral lists this non-coding RNA (29 nucleotides) under Mus musculus (house mouse). Lineage: Eukaryota; Metazoa; Chordata; Mammalia; Rodentia; Muridae. The record is from RNAcentral.